GAGGGGCCUGGGCUGCGGGGCGGCCCCGGAGGCGGCACUGAGCGGCUGGUGAGCCCGGCAGACCCUGCAGCACCGCUCCCGCGAGCAACGCUCCGCACCUGCUGCCCUCGCCCGGCCCGGGGCGCCGCUGCCAUGCGGCUGGCGCUGCUCUGGGCCCUGGGGCUUCUUGGCGCGGGCAGCCCGCUGCCUUCCCGGCCGCUCCCCAAUAUAGGUGGCACGGAGGAGGAGCAGGCAAGGCCAGAGGGGGCCUGGAGUGGACCCUCGGAGGUCUUUCCCCUUGGGGACCACCAGGAGCUCGGCCAAGCUGAGGUGCUGGAGACACACCCGCCUGAGGCACUGGAGAUCAAACUGGAGCUUGAAGGGGAGAGUCACGUCCUGGAGCUGUUGCCAAGCAGGGAGCUGGUCCCUGGCCGCCCAACCCUGGUGUGGUACCAGCCUGAUGGCAGCCGGGUGGUCAGUGAGGGACACAGUCUGGGGAGCUGCUGCUUUCAGGGCCGGGUGCGAGGCCACGCGCACUCCUGGGCAUCCAUCUGCACCUGCUCCGGGCUCCGGGGCGUGGUGGUCCUGUCCCCAGAGCGAAGCUAUGCCCUGGAGCAGGGACACGGGGACCAGGCGGCUUCUCCCCGCAUCUCUCAGAUCCGUGGCUCUCUGCUGCCACAUCACACCUGCGUCCGGAGCAGGCAGGGGCCUGUGCCCAGCCACGUUCUGACAGAGCCGCCCAGCGGACAACACCGUGGCCGCCGGAGAAGAGAUGUGGUGACAGAGACCAAGAUCGUGGAGCUGGUGAUCGUGGCGGAUCAUUCUGAGGUGCAGAGGUACCCGGACCCCCAGCAGCUGCUGAACCGCUCACUUGAGGUGGCGAUGUACGUGGAUACGUUCUUCCGGCCCCUCAAUGUCCGGGUGGUGCUCGUGGGCCUAGAAGCCUGGACCCAGCAUGACCUGGUGGAAAUCAGCCAGGACCCAGGGGUCACUCUAGACAACUUCCUGCGCUGGCGCCAGACGGACCUGCUGCCCAGACUGCCCCACGACAGUGCCCAGCUGGUGACUGCAACCGUGUUCUCUGGGCCGUCCGUGGGGCUCGCCGUGCAGAACUCCAUCUGCUCCCCAGAGCUCUCGGGAGGCGUCAACAUGGACCAUUCCACCAGCAUCCUGGGAGUUGCCUCCUCCAUUGCCCAUGAGCUGGGCCACAGCUUGGGCCUGGACCACGACGUGCCUGGGAACAGCUGCCCCUGUCCAGGCCCAGCCCCUGCCAAGACCUGCAUCAUGGAGGCCUCCACAGACUUCCUGCCAGGCCAGAACUUCAGCAACUGCAGCCGCCGGGCGCUGGAGCGGGCCCUGCAGGCCGGCAUGGGCAGCUGUCUCUUUGACCAGACGUCUGGUCAGCGGGCCCUGGGCAGCCUGUGUGGAAACCAGCUUGUGGAGCCGGGGGAGCAGUGUGACUGCGGCUUCCCUGACGUCUGCACUGACCCCUGCUGUGACUACUUCACCUGUCAGCUGCGGCCAGGGGCACAGUGCGCCUCCCAGGAGUCCUGCUGUCAGAACUGCCAGCUGCGCCCUGCUGGCUGGCAGUGCCGCCCGGCCCGAGGGGACUGUGACCUGCCGGAAUUCUGCCCCGGAGACAGCGCGCAGUGCCCAGCAGACAUAGGCCUGGGGGACGGCGAACCGUGUGCGGGGGGCACGGCCGUGUGCAUGCGGGGGCGCUGCGCGUCCUACGCCCAGCAGUGCCAGGCGCUCUGGGGCCCAGGGGCACGGCCCGCCGCACCACCCUGCCUUCAGGCUGCCAACACGCGGGGGGACGCGUUCGGGAGCUGCGGGCACCGCCCCAAUGGCAGCUACGUGGCCUGUGCGCCCAGUGACGUCAUCUGUGGGCAGCUCCAGUGCCAAGGGGGCGGUGCGCAGCCCCUGCUGGGGGCGGCCGCAGAGCUGCGAUGGGAGACCCUGGACGCCAAUGGCACCCGGCUCAACUGCAGCCUCGCGCACCUGGACCUGGGCAGCGAUGUGGUGCAGCCGCUCCUGGCACUGCCUGGCACCGCCUGCGGCCCUGGCCUGGUAUGCAUUGAGCAGCGGUGCCAACCCGCCAGCCUCCUGGGAGCACAGAAAUGUAGCAGCAGAUGCCACGGGCAUGGGGUCUGCAACAGCGAUGGCAACUGUCACUGCGAGGAGGGCUGGGCGCCCCCCGACUGCGCUGCCCAGAGCAGAGCAACCAGCUCCCUGACCACCGGGCUGCUCCUCAGCCUCCUGCUGCUGCUGGUCCUGGUGCUGCUUGGUGCCAGCUACUGGCAUCGUGCCCGCCUCCGCCAGAGGCUCUGCCAGCUCAAGGGGCCCAGCUGCCAAUACAGGGCAGCCCAGCCCAUCCCCCCUGAACGCCCAGGACCCCCGCAGAGGACCUUGCUGACGCCAGGUGCCAAGGCCAGCUCUGGCAGCUUCCCGGCUGCCCCCUCCAGGCCGCUGCCUCCUGACCCUGUACGCAAGAGACUCCAGGUAAAUCUGGCCCAGGGCAGGUGGGAAGCUUGGCGCCUAGCCUCAGCUCUCAUCCCUGUUCCCUGCCAGCGGUGCUCUUCAUUCGGGGACCAGGGUGCCCCUUCGCCUUCAGACACUUUGAGCCCCAGAAGCAGCAAAGGGCUGAGCUGGCGGAUCGACCCAAUCCCCCUACCCGCCCUCUGCCCGCUGACCCAGUGGUGAGGCGCCCCAAGGUAACAGUGUGGGAGAGAGAAGGGCACAGCCUCCUCCCCCACCUAGGGCUGCUGUGCUGGUGGCCGUGGCGGUGGUGGCCGUGGCGGUGGUGGCCGUGGUGAGAUGUCCCUUUGGUGCCCCAGUGGCUUCUCUAGUGGUGACAGGUUUGUUUGGAGACAGAGGUGCCCACUGAUGCUGCCCCUGGCCCAGCUGGUGUUCCCCAGCACUGGGGCAUGGGAGGGGGCAGUGUGACACACUCCCAAGUGACUCCCCCCUGCCUUCUCUCUCUCAGUCUCUGGGGCCCACCAAGCCCCCACCCCCAAGGAAGGCACUGCCCACCGACCCUCAGGGCAGGCGCCCUUCUGGGGACACACCCAGUCCAGAAGCUGGAUUCCUGCCUUUAGUGGUACCCUCCAGGCCUGCGCCACCGCCCCCUUCGGC
This is an RNA transcript of Sorex araneus (European shrew), 3114 nucleotides long. It is a transcript of the gene named ADAM metallopeptidase domain 15, with no coding region annotated. The transcript has 22 exons. The record is from RefSeq and is a predicted model, not a curated record. NCBI's taxonomy places the organism in Eukaryota, Metazoa, Chordata, Mammalia, Eulipotyphla, Soricidae.